CCUACGGGAGGCAGCAGUGGGGAAUAUUGGACAAUGGGCGAAAGCCUGAUCCAGCAAUGCCGCGUGAGUGAUGAAGGCCUUCGGGUCGUAAAGCUCUUUUACCAGGGAUGAUAAUGACAGUACCUGGAGAAUAAGCUCCGGCUAACUCCGUGCCAGCAGCCGCGGUAAUACGGAGGGAGCUAGCGUUGUUCGGAAUUACUGGGCGUAAAGAGUACGUAGGCGGUUAUUCAAGUCAGAGGUGAAAGCCCGGGGCUCAACCCCGGAACUGCCUUUGAAACUAGAUAACUAGAGUCUUGGAGAGGUUAGUGGAAUUCCGAGUGUAGAGGUGAAAUUCGUAGAUAUUCGGAAGAACACCAGUGGCGAAGGCGACUAACUGGACAAGUACUGACGCUGAGGUACGAAAGCGUGGGGAGCAAACAGGAUUAGAUACCCUGGUAGUCCACGCCGUAAACGAUGAUAACUAGUUGUUCGGUCACUUGGUGACUGAGUGACGCAGCUAACGCAUUAAGUUAUCCGCCUGGGGAGUACGGUCGCAAGAUUAAAACGUCAAAAGUGUAAGUUAGGACGGUCGUAAGAGACGUUGACGAGGCACCGAGGAGGGUUAG
RNAcentral lists this ribosomal RNA (605 nucleotides) under uncultured bacterium. Its description in RNAcentral is "bacterial SSU rRNA". It matches the Rfam family "Bacterial small subunit ribosomal RNA", at positions 338 to 1212 of the family's 1533-position model. The record is from RNAcentral.